RNAcentral lists this transfer RNA (74 nucleotides) under Campylobacter fetus subsp. fetus. It matches the Rfam family "tRNA". Rfam says of the family: Transfer RNA (tRNA) molecules are approximately 80 nucleotides in length. The record is from Rfam by way of RNAcentral. Lineage: Bacteria; Pseudomonadati; Campylobacterota; Epsilonproteobacteria; Campylobacterales; Campylobacteraceae. RNAcentral also lists the same sequence under 2 other names.
CGGGGCGUAGCGCAGUCUGGUAGCGCACUUGGUUUGGGACCAAGGGGCCGAAGGUUCGAAUCCUUUCGCCCCGA